Long non-coding RNA from Astyanax mexicanus (Mexican tetra), 4599 nucleotides. RefSeq lists it as uncharacterized. Lineage: Eukaryota; Metazoa; Chordata; Actinopteri; Characiformes; Acestrorhamphidae. The record is from RefSeq and is a predicted model, not a curated record. The transcript is spliced from 4 exons.
CUCUCCUCAGUAAGCGCAGUUAGUUCAUUAUUAGGUUCAGCUGUGUGUAAAAAGCUCCUAACUUACGACUAGAGUUCUCUGGUGUUGCGCCGAAAACAGCCCCCUGCUAAUCUCUGCAGCGGCGCCGGGAGGUCAGUUUACUCCUCUGUAGCGUUAGCUUAAAGUUAGCAUUUUUCUCAUUACGACCCUUAAACGAUCUCGUUUCAGAGGAUCCAGUGAUAUUCAGGAGUAAAAUGUACACAGAGACAUCCCAAGUUGCAAAAGUUGUUUUCAGGGAGGUUACUCUUGCCUUAAUGCAACACAAUUCCUGUAAAAGUGCUGAGCUCUAGCUCUUUCGUCAUUCAGAGGACCCUUACCCUAUGAGGGACCUGUAACAUGUGCAAUACUGAAGAAGAAGAAAAAUAAGAAGAAGAAGAAUUACAGUUCAGGGCAGUAUUUAAUUCUACAUUGUCUGAGAUGGUUCUGUUAUAAAUGUUACAGAGCAGCAUCUCGUCCAGCUUUAAACUCACAACACUGUCAGAACUGAUCCACCCCUCAACCACUAGUUUAACAACUAGAUCUAGUUUAACAUUUACAGCAACCGCAUCUUGCCAACAUCUGGACCUUCAUUCCAAGUGGUAAGUGGGCCACUAGAAACGGCCAGAUGUGGGCCAGCUUUGGGCCAUGUCAACACUGCUUUCAGGGGUAGGUGUUUUUGUGCUAAACAUAGAAUUAUAACUACUUUCAGAUGUAUUUAAAAGAUAAAAAAGAGAGGAAAAUCACAACAAAACGAUAACAAGUGUCUCAAAACUGAAGUUCAAAAAAAUAUAGAAAAAAAUGGCAUUUACUGUAUUACAACUGUGUAGGAUCUGGUAGACCAGAAGUACCACAGUAAGAUAAACAUCACUCAAAGCUUUCACCUCUUAGAGAGAUGCAAAUUUAAACUCUCCUCUCUCUCUCUCUCUCUCUCUCUCUCUCUCUCUCUCUCUCUCUCUCUCUCUCUCUUUUCAGAUCACACCAUUUGCCUGAAUCAAAAUGUGAGUUCUUGGAAAGUAUCAGAGGCCAGUAUACUAACUAUUGAAGAAAUUAAAGACGCAUCAGACUUCAUCUACAACUAUCAGUGAAGCAUGGUGGAGGAUCAUUGCUAUUUCAUCACCUCCACGCUGCUGCUGGACUCCAUGGACCCACUACAGUUUGCACACCACCACAACUGCUCUACUGGUGGUGCCAUCACACAUCUGCUUCACACAUCACUGUGUGACCUGGACACUGGAGGGGAACGGCACCUGCUGAAGCCUGCACCAGACUUGAAAAUCUGGCAAAACCAAGCGCACCAUCUGGCAACUGAAUACUCCGUCUUACACAGUGAGGACUGGAAUCACACUCAUGGUGGCUUCCAGUCUGCUCGUGUUUGACUGUACACACUGUGCACUGAGAGAACAGAGAACAAAGAACAGCAGUGCUAUUCUCCUCUAAUCACAGGCAUCAGAUCAGGUAGGCCUCCUUAAUCAUCAUCUUCACUGUCUAAAUGAACAGUCAUGCUCAUACCUAUUUUAAAGGGGAGGUUUGUUAGAUGUUUUGUUAUUCUGUGCUAUUCAAUGUUAGGAGUGUAAACACACUCAGAAAGUGACUAUACUGAAGUUGUCCAUAUAAUGAAUCAUGUAGUAACUUAAAAGAGUUAAACAAACCAAAAUACUCUGUGAAUCAUUUAGGUGCUCCUAUCUGAAAUUAUCCUGUGCAACAAAGAAAACUGUUGGUCCUCCUUUCCUGGGGUGAUCCGGAUGAGUACCAGUUUCAUGAUAAUGUUUUUGAUGGUCUUUGAGACUUACCUAACUUUUAUUUCUUAAAGUAAUUUGUUGCUUUACUUAGUUACUUCACAACAGAACAGAUGCUCUCAAACACAUUAGGAGCCAAGAAAUUCAAGCAACUCUUGAUAAGUUCAGCACAGCUCUUAACUGAAAGCCGUUCCAGGUGACGUUACCUCAUAAAGCUGACUCAGAAAAUCCAGCCAAGAUGUGCAAAACUGUUGUCUAAGAAAGAGGUGCUACUUUGCAGGACCUAGAACUUUAGUACUAAACUACAAUAAAGAAAUUAAUAGAAACAACAGUGCCACUUUAAAAUAUGGCUCCAUUAUACAGGGGUUAUAAAUAGUUUAUGGAGAAGUUUAUUUAAAAAAAAAACAUUAAUAAUCACUUAUUAAACACAUAAAUAGAAAGAACAACAGUGACAAUGACUUUUUAACAUGUCUAAUAAACCAAUAUGGAAAGUCAGUUUAGUCAUUUAUUAUGUUAUUAUAGUUAAAUGAAUAAAGUUAUUAACAGAAAUGGUAAUGAUGACCGAUGGAAAAGACAAAAUAAGAUAAGCAUCUAGUAAGAUCUGAGGUUUAACAGAAGAAAUGAAUGUGGCAUCACUAUUUUGUACACGACAGGCCACUGUUGCCCUUCCUAUUUAUGUUUUAUUACUUCUUAUUAAUGGUUUGUAACCUAAUUAAUAAUAAAAUAAAUAUUAAUUAACUCCUUUAUAAGCUUUUUAUAAACCCUUUAUAAAGUAGCCUUAUUUUAAAGUGGUACAGAAAAAAACAUUUAAUUUAAGGUGUGUCCAACAUUUUGAAAGGUACUGUAAUUUUGAUAAGAGUAAAGAAAAAACUUAUCUAUAAAAAUAUAUAUGUUUUCUGCCAAAGUCAUAAUACAACACUCUCCUAGUGUCACAUCCUUAGGUUCUCCUCCUGCCACUUUUAACUCACUGCACUACAUUUCCCAGAAUCCUUGUACACUAUCCACAACCUGCCAAUCAGGCACAGUUCCCAUACUCAUCAUCCCCAGAGUGCUGAUCAUUGUCACCUGUGUGUCCUUUCCUUACCUGCUGUGGAUAUCUGCCUGUUUGCCUGUAACACUCUCUCAAGCCCACCUUGCUACCCUCAUACAAAUGAUUGUCUAAUAAGAACUGAGUGAGACUCUUAAUGCUACACAUCCAUCUACCUGUGUAAUAUCAUUCAACUAUAACUAUACUUUGCUAAGGAUAAUGGUAAAUAUAUUCAGUCAGUGAUAUUAUUGUUAUUGUAUGUAUGUUAAUAACAAUUACAUUUUUAGACUGUGAUGAAACUUUUACAGGCAUUAAACUCUUCAAAUGUCACGGGUUCACUCAGUUCACUCUGCACCACUUAAAAAUCUGACUCUGCAGCUUUCUCCAGAAGUGCCCAUUUCUCAUCAGACAGCUCUGUAGGGUGUUUUUAUAUCUUAAAGAUUCAGGAUAUCAAGUGGAUCUGCUGAAUCAGAUUUCCAGUUCAUGUUCAGGGACUUUGUGUGUCAAAUGCUUUUGUCCUCCAUAUGAAAGAUUAAGUGUCAUACUUAAGCUAAGAGUGUCUUUUUUAUCUUUGAUGGGGUUAUAUAAACAGCAUAAUCUGCUGUGAUUUGGGAGGAAAGUGAACAAAUCACUCUAAACGUCUAACGGCCCGUAUCCGACAUCUUUCUUGUCCAUUUACAACAUUUGUGUGGUUUGCGUGGAACUGUAUACGUUCCAAAACAGUCAUAAUUCAUUUUUACAUGAUCAUUUUCCAACCACUCGACUAUCCCUUAGAAUCAGACAGACAGUUUCUGUUACUGUGUGACUGAUAGAAGAUAAAUGAGCUCUGUUCCCAUCGUCUGUCCUGUAUUGUGUUUCAUUCAAAAACAACAAUCAGGGCUGAAGUACUCAUGAUAAUUGUGUAUUAGGCAUGCAUGAGUGUGGAUAUUGGUAUCAUAUGAAGGUUACUGCUGUUGGGUUUACAUGUGGAGAAGUGUAAGGACUGUUAAGCGGGCUCUGCCAACAAGAGAAAAAUCAACACGUCUCAGGUAAAUGCAAAAUCCCCAGUGUUUUUUUUUUUUUCCAAAUUACAGCAUGCAGAAAAAUAUAAAGAAAAACUGUAUGGGCGUGGUCAAGCAGGCUAAAGUGCUGCCACUAUGAGCGGGAGUUCGCAGGCUCGAACCCCCGCUUAUGCAGCUUUGCCAUCAAGCUGCUGGUGCUCAGAGGGUGCACAAUUGGCCCUGCUCCCUCUGGGUGGGUAGAUGGUUCUCUCUACCCACAUCAUUAAAGGGUGAUGUCUGCAGCACCGGGCGUCUGUGAGCUGAUGUAUCAGAACCGAGUUGCUGCACUGUCCUCUGAGCAUUCUGUGAUGCUACUAGGUAAUGCUGCAUCAGCAGCAGUUCGAAAAGAAGCGGUGGCUGACUUCUAGAGCUUAGAUUCUCUGCCCGAACCCGACCUGACCCGAAAACAAGAUUUCUCACCACAUUCCUCGGGCCGGGGGUCAGGCUCCAGAAAAUAGUCCGAGAUGUAAGCAUCUGUUUUUAAUUUUAUUUUUAUUUUAUAUAAAGCUCUGGAGUAAUAAUCACAAUGUUGCUAAGUACCCAAUUAUUAUUGUUAACUAAAAUGAACGAAAUAAUGAAAUCUGAAAGUGAAAAAACAUUUGUAUUAAUUUUCGGGUCUGAUUUUUUGGGCCCGAUCUAAGCUCUACUGACUUCACAUGUAUUGGAGGAGGCAUGUGUUAGUCUUCACAUUCCUGGUGUGUUGGGCCACUACUAGUGAUAGGGGGAGUCCUAAUGAGUGGAUUGAGCAAUUGACUGUGCGCUAAAUUGGGGAGAAAAA